RNAcentral lists this ribosomal RNA (467 nucleotides) under uncultured bacterium. Its description in RNAcentral is "partial 16S ribosomal RNA". It matches the Rfam family "Bacterial small subunit ribosomal RNA", at positions 28 to 507 of the family's 1533-position model. The record is from RNAcentral.
GACGAACGCUGGCGGCGUGCUUAACACAUGCAAGUCGAACGGAAAGGCCCUGCUUUUGUGGGGUGCUCGAGUGGCGAACGGGUGAGUAACACGUGAGUAACCUGCCCUUGACUUUGGGAUAACUUCAGGAAACUGGGGCUAAUACCGGAUAGGAGCUCCUGCUGCAUGGUGGGGGUUGGAAGUUUCGGCGGUUGGGGAUGGACUCGCGGCUUAUCAGCUUGUUGGUGGGGUAGUGGCUUACCAAGGCUUUGACGGGUAGCCGGCCUGAGAGGGUGACCGGCCGCAUUGGGACUGAGAUACGGCCCAGACUCCUACGGGAGGCAGCAGUGGGGAAUAUUGCACAAUGGGCGGAAGCCUGAUGCAGCAACGCCGCGUGCGGGAUGACGGCCUUCGGGUUGUAAACCGCUUUCGCCUGUGACGAAGCGUGAGUGACGGUAAUGGGUAAAGAAGCACCGGCUAACUACGUG